This 541-nucleotide ribosomal RNA is filed under the name uncultured bacterium. RNAcentral's name for it is "bacterial SSU rRNA". It matches the Rfam family "Bacterial small subunit ribosomal RNA", at positions 777 to 1327 of the family's 1533-position model. The record is from RNAcentral.
AAUAGACUACCCCGGUAGUCCUAGCCGUAAACGAUGAACACUAGGCGUAGUCGGUAUCGACCCCGGCUGUGCCGUAGCUAACGCAUUAAGUGUUCCGCCUGGGGAGUACGGCCGCAAGGCUAAAACUACAAAGGAAUUGACGGGGGCCCGCACAAGCAGCGGAGCGUGUGGUUUUAAUUCGUCGCAACGCGAAGAACCUUACCAGGGCUUGACAUGUGGCGGAAAACGGCGGAAACGUCGUCCUCCCGCAAGGGACCGUCAUGCAGGUGUUGCAUGGCUGUCGUCAGCUCGUGUCGUGAGAUGUUGGGUUAAGUCCCGCAACGAGCGCAACCCCCGUGGCAUGUUGUAUCUCUCAUGCCAGACUGCCGAGAGAAACUCGGAGGAAGGUGGGGAUGACGCCAAGUCAGCAUGGCCCUUACGUCCUGGGCUACACACACGCUACAAUGGCCGGUACAACGGGUUGCCAAACCGGCGAGGUGGAGCUAAUCCCUUAAAGCCGGUCUCAGUUCGGAUUGCAGGCUGCAACUCGCUGCAUGAAGCC